CCCGUGAAGAAGCGGGGAUAAACCUAUAAGACGAGAAGACCCCAUGGAGCUUUAAACUUAACUACACCCCUUUUAACUUUUCUUUAAAACCCUAGGCCCCUGUACGUUCUGUUUUAGGUUGGGGUGACCGCGGAGCAUAAAUUAACCUCCACAAUGAAUAGAUCUCUUCUUUAUCUAAGACUCACACCUCUAAGAACUAGUACUCUAACAUAAAAUGAUCCGACAUUCGAUCAACGAAUCAAGUUACCCUGGGGAUAACAGCGCAAUCUACUUCAAGAGCUCCUAUCGACAAGUGGGUUUACGACCUCGAUGUUGGAUC
This 319-nucleotide ribosomal RNA is filed under the name Guibemantis bicalcaratus. Its description in RNAcentral is "partial 16S ribosomal RNA". It matches the Rfam family "Bacterial large subunit ribosomal RNA", at positions 2050 to 2538 of the family's 2925-position model. The record is from RNAcentral. Lineage: Eukaryota; Metazoa; Chordata; Amphibia; Anura; Mantellidae.